GACGAACGCUGGCGGCGUGCUUAACACAUGCAAGUCGAACGGAAAGGCCCUGCUUUUGUGGGGUGCUCGAUUGGCGAACGGGUGAGUAACACGUGAGUAACCUGCCCUUGACUUUGUGAUAACUUCAGGAAACUGGGGCUAAUACCGGAUAGGAGCUCCUGCUGCAUGUUGGGGGUUGGAAAGUUUCGGCGGUUGGGGCUGGAUUCGCGGCUUAUCAGCUUGUUGGUGGGGUAGUGGCUUACCAAGGCUUUGACGGGUAGCCGGCCUGAGAGGGUGACCGGCCACAUUGGGACUGAGAUACGGCCCAGAAUCCUACGGGAGGCAGCAGUGGGGAAUAUUGCGGAAUGGGCGGAAGCCUGAUGCAGCAACGCCGCGUGCGGGAUGACGGCCUUCGGGUUGUAAACCGAUUUCGCCUGUGACGAAGCGUGAGUGACGGUAAUGGGUAAAGAAGCACCGGCUAACUACGUG
RNAcentral lists this ribosomal RNA (468 nucleotides) under uncultured bacterium. RNAcentral describes it as "partial 16S ribosomal RNA". It matches the Rfam family "Bacterial small subunit ribosomal RNA", at positions 28 to 507 of the family's 1533-position model. The record is from RNAcentral.